GGUGCCAUAGCUCAGUUGGUAAGCCUUAGAAAGCGAGUUUACGAGCUUUUUGAGGCUGAAAGGAGCAACGGACUGAAAAUCCGUGUGUCCCUAGUUCGAUUCUUGGUGGCACCA
This 114-nucleotide transfer RNA is filed under the name Bacteroidales bacterium OttesenSCG-928-M11. RNAcentral's name for it is "tRNA-Phe". It matches the Rfam family "tRNA". From Rfam's summary of the family: Transfer RNA (tRNA) molecules are approximately 80 nucleotides in length. Their secondary structure includes four short double-helical elements and three loops (D, anti-codon, and T loops). Further hydrogen bonds mediate the characteristic L-shaped molecular structure. tRNAs have two regions of fundamental functional importance: the anti-codon, which is responsible for specific mRNA codon recognition, and the 3' end, to which the tRNAs corresponding amino acid is attached (by aminoacyl-tRNA synthetases). tRNAs cope with the degeneracy of the genetic code in two manners: having more than one tRNA (with a specific anti-codon) for a particular amino acid; and 'wobble' base-pairing, i.e. permitting non-standard base-pairing at the 3rd anti-codon position. The record is from RNAcentral. Lineage: Bacteria; Pseudomonadati; Bacteroidota; Bacteroidia; Bacteroidales.